This 83-nucleotide transfer RNA is filed under the name Candidatus Melainabacteria bacterium GWF2_37_15. Its description in RNAcentral is "tRNA-Leu". It matches the Rfam family "tRNA". Rfam says of the family: Transfer RNA (tRNA) molecules are approximately 80 nucleotides in length. Their secondary structure includes four short double-helical elements and three loops (D, anti-codon, and T loops). Lineage: Bacteria; Bacillati; Candidatus Melainabacteria. The record is from RNAcentral.
GCCGAAGUGGUGAAAUUGGUAGACACGCAUGGUUCAGGGCCAUGUGGGCAUAGCCUGUGUGGGUUCGAGUCCCGUCUUCGGCA